This is a non-coding RNA of Podarcis lilfordi (Lilford's wall lizard), 72 nucleotides long. The record is from the annotation of a GenBank genome assembly. NCBI's taxonomy places the organism in Eukaryota, Metazoa, Chordata, Lepidosauria, Squamata, Lacertidae.
GUUGAUAGCUCAGUUGGUUAGAGCGUGGUGCUAAUAAUGCCAAGGUCACAGAUUCGAUCCCCGUAAGGGACA